RNAcentral lists this ribosomal RNA (797 nucleotides) under uncultured beta proteobacterium. Its description in RNAcentral is "bacterial SSU rRNA". It matches the Rfam family "Bacterial small subunit ribosomal RNA", at positions 8 to 793 of the family's 1533-position model. The record is from RNAcentral. Lineage: Bacteria; Pseudomonadati; Pseudomonadota; Betaproteobacteria.
AGAGUUUGAUCCUGGCUCAGAUUGAACGCUGGCGGCAUGCCUUACACAUGCAAGUCGAACGGCAGCACGGGAGCAAUCCUGGUGGCGAGUGGCGAACGGGUGAGUAAUAUAUCGGAACGUGCCCAGUAGUAGGGGAUAGCCCGGCGAAAGCCGGAUUAAUACCGCAUACGACCUACGGGUGAAAGCGGGGGAUCGCAAGACCUCGCGCUAUUGGAGCGGCCGAUAUCAGAUUAGCUUGUUGGUGGGGUAAAAGCCUACCAAGGCGACGAUCUGUAGCUGGUCUGAGAGGACGACCAGCCACACUGGGACUGAGACACGGCCCAGACUCCUACGGGAGGCAGCAGUGGGGAAUUUUGGACAAUGGGCGCAAGCCUGAUCCAGCCAUGCCGCGUGCGGGAAGAAGGCCUUCGGGUUGUAAACCGCUUUUGUCAGGGAAGAAACGGUUCCUACUAAUAUUGGGAACUAAUGACGGUACCUGAAGAAUAAGCACCGGCUAACUACGUGCCAGCAGCCGCGGUAAUACGUAGGGUGCAAGCGUUAAUCGGAAUUACUGGGCGUAAAGCGUGCGCAGGCGGCUUUGCAAAGACAGAUGUGAAAUCCCCGGGCUCAACCUGGGAACUGCAUUUGUGACUGCAUGGCUAGAGUACGGUAGAGGGGGAUGGAAUUCCGCGUGUAGCAGUGAAAAUGCGUAGAUAUGCGGAGGAACACCGAUGGCGAAAGGCAAUCCCCCUGGACCUGACUGACGCUCAUGCACGAAAAGCGUGGGGAAGGCAAACAGGAUUAGAUACCCUGGGUAG